GACGAACGCUGGCGGCGUGCUUAACACAUGCAAGUCGAACGGAAAGGCCCUGCUUUUGUGGGGUGCUCGAGUGGCGAACGGGUGAGUAACACGUGAGUAACCUGCCCUUGACUUUGGGAUAACUUCAGGAAACUGGGGCUAAUACCGGAUAGGAGCUCCUGCUGCACGGUGGGGGUUGGAAAGUUUCGGCGGUUGGGGAUGGACUCGCGGCUUAUCAGCUUGUUGGUGGGGUAGUGGCUUACCAAGGCUUUGACGGGUAGCCGGCCUGAGAGGGUGACCGGCCACAUUGGGACUGCGGUACGGCCCAGACUCCUACGGGACGCAGCAGUGGGGAAUAUUGCACAAUGGGCGGAAGCCUGAUGCAGCAACGCCGCGUGCGGGAUGACGGCCUUCGGGUUGUAAACCGCUUUCGCCUGUGACGAAGCGUGAGUGACGGUAAUGGGUAAAGAAGCACCGGCUAACUACGUG
This 468-nucleotide ribosomal RNA is filed under the name uncultured bacterium. RNAcentral describes it as "partial 16S ribosomal RNA". It matches the Rfam family "Bacterial small subunit ribosomal RNA", at positions 28 to 507 of the family's 1533-position model. The record is from RNAcentral.